CCUACGGGUGGCAGCAGUGAGGAAUAUUGGUCAAUGGACGAGAGUCUGAACCAGCCAAGUAGCGUGAAGGAUGACUGCCCUAUGGGUUGUAAACUUCUUUUAUAUGGGGAUAAAACGUUCCACGUGUGGGAUUUUGUAUGUACCAUAUGAAUAAGGAUCGGCUAACUCCGUGCCAGCAGCCGCGGUAAUACGGAGGAUCCGAGCGUUAUCCGGAUUUAUUGGGUUUAAAGGGAGCGUAGGUGGAUUGUUAAGUCGGUUGUGAAAGUUUGCGGAUCAACCGUAAAAUUGCAGUUGAAACUGGCAGUCUUGAGUACAGUAGAGGUGGGCGGAAUUCGUGGUGUAGCGGUGAAAUGCUUAGAUAUCACGAAGAACUCCGAUUGCGAAGGCAGUUCACUGGACUGCAACUGACACUGAGGCUCGAAAGUGUGGGUAUCAAACAGGAUUAGAUACCCUGGUAGUC
This 460-nucleotide ribosomal RNA is filed under the name uncultured bacterium. RNAcentral's name for it is "partial 16S ribosomal RNA". It matches the Rfam family "Bacterial small subunit ribosomal RNA", at positions 338 to 795 of the family's 1533-position model. The record is from RNAcentral.